RNAcentral lists this long non-coding RNA (753 nucleotides) under Manihot esculenta (cassava). Its description in RNAcentral is "long non-coding RNA (MESC_LNC004956)". Lineage: Eukaryota; Viridiplantae; Streptophyta; Magnoliopsida; Malpighiales; Euphorbiaceae. The record is from RNAcentral.
UUGUCUAUGGUUCCGCUGACUUUGGGCGGCGAAUCUCCAUCUGUUUUGUUUUAUUCCUUUGAGUUUUGUUUAAUUUCUGCGAUGUGUGUUUUUGGGUUUCCUUCAGCUAUCGAUGGAGGCUUCUCCCUAUUUUAUCGGUGUGGUUAUUUUGGUGUGUUGAAGACGGAUCGCCAGUGCUUGUUGUUGAGGGAGUUUGAUUUGCAACCUGUGUGAUAGGAACUGAGAAUCUGCUUUCUGCUUUCUAUCCAUGGGAAGCCUUGCAUGCAUUGACGAUGGCAGCUUGGGGCUGCCACCGUCACUUCCGGUGAACAAUGCAUCUCCAGGUGAGAUCAUCGAGAGCUCUGUCAUCAUCUCCUCCCGAUGGUGUGGGUGUUGUUGUUGUUAGUCCGGAUUUAUACUAAAUCGCCUUGCUUGGAUCUUGCAGACUUAUUUAGAAAUAGAACUGCCACUCCACUGACAUUGGUUGUGGUGAACGUGAGGAUCCGAUUGUGUUAGAGGUGUGCCGGCUAGUUUUUGCCAUGACGGUUUUAGCUCGUCAUCUCUAAAUUUUUGGCGGUGCCGCUUCACUUGUCAGUGUCUAUGAAUUUAAUUAGUUUGUUGGGUUUGAUUUUUUGUGAUUUGAUUUUCUAGAUUGUGGUUUGAAUUGAGUUUGAUUUGUACUUCUAGAUUUGUUUAAUCGGCUCUUUUGUACUCUUUAUCUUUGGCCCGGCAAAAAUAUAUAUAUAUAUAUUUUUUCACAUUUGAUAAAAAAAA